Long non-coding RNA from Corticium candelabrum, 713 nucleotides. RefSeq lists it as uncharacterized. NCBI's taxonomy places the organism in Eukaryota, Metazoa, Porifera, Homoscleromorpha, Homosclerophorida, Plakinidae. The record is from RefSeq and is a predicted model, not a curated record. The transcript has 3 exons.
GUAUUCUCUAUCGGAGAAAGAUGAAGAGGAAGGCGUAGAGAGUCUGAUCGUGCUUGAUUGGCGAGUUUCCGACCCGUAAUUUGACAUUUUCACUUCGGCCGAAAUCGGCCAUCCAGCACACCGAGAGGAGGAUUGGGAGGAGGUUAGCGAAGCUUCGGAAGAGAAGAGCGUCGUCAUACUUCCGGUCGCUGUGUUGUUGGCAACGGAACCGGAUGUCUGCAAGAAUGCACCGUCGCGCUAGUUAGUAGAACGGUGUAGGUGAAUACAAGAUGUCUCUACGUACAGAAGGUCAUUUCAGGUCAUUGCGCACGGUUUGGUCAGGGCGUGGUCGCUGUCGAACAGAAGCUCGAAGCUGUGCGCCGUACAAGCAGAGGACGUGCUUUGUUGAGAGUAAUAGUUUGUAGAUAGUGUAGAUAGAUGUGUACAGUUGGUUAUUUCUACUUUGUAAGUAGUUUUACGAUAGUUUGUGUAGCUUACUACCGUUUCUUUCGUAACCUGAUUUUGCACUGUCCCGAGGUAAGCCGGGGUAAGCAAUGUUUAUAGCCGUGUACAGUUGAGUUUGUUGCAUCUCCUAAUUCGUUUUUGUGCCUGUAUGGCUUCAUUCUAGGUUCUGCUCUAGACCCACAAUGUUGAAGGGGCGUUUCCUAGUGCCUAUGGCAGUAGGCAUUGAUAUCAAACUUUUUGUGCUGGAUGUGUGCGUGUACACAAAUCUC